Molecule: long non-coding RNA, 4828 nt
Filed under: Panax ginseng (ginseng)
Lineage: Eukaryota; Viridiplantae; Streptophyta; Magnoliopsida; Apiales; Araliaceae
Description: long non-coding RNA (PGIN_LNC013198)
Source: RNAcentral
UGGCUCAGGGGAGUGACGAAUAGGAGAAACACGCCGGUCUGCAUCUGCACCAGGAGGGAUCCUUUGUACAACAGUCAUCCAGGCAACAUCUUGAGGCCAAGAACCACGAUUGGUUCUUGACCUUCUAUGACUAAGAUCAGAAGAAGGAUUCUGGAAUGGAACUUCCUUCCAUUUUGCUCGGCAAACGGGGCAAAUCUGAUUUCCAUGUUUUACAUUGGAGGUGAUGCAGUGGAAGUGGAAGGAGUGUGAGCAUUCUGCGGUAAAAAUGGCAUGGCCUUGGCCUGGUUUCAUGGUGGUUAAGCAUAUUGAACAAGUCCUCUGCAACCACAAAGAAAUACAAGUCAAAAGCAGAUCACACAUGAACUGCAUUCAAGCCAACUGUUAUGGCUGAAAGAUUGAUCAACUUUGAAAUGCAUCAGCUGAUACAGUUUGCUCAAGUAUCAAUUCAAAUAUAUUUAUUUUGUCUUGUUUAAUUAUUUGGUGAUAAGCAAAUCAAAUAAACAAUGUGAAUAUAAAGAAAACAUUUAUACGAUCCCACAUAAACUGCAUCAAGACCAACUUUAUGGCUGAUAGAUUAAGCACAAACAACUAAACAAAUUGUCAAUGAUCCAACCUAUGAUUGACAGUUUAUGAACCCCCUAUGCAAUGCACACAACAUAAUAAUCAGCUCAUAUUUUUGCUGACAUUAAUAUAUUUUAAUUUUUUAAUUUUUGGGUUUUGGCAAUAAAUAAAUAAAAUAAGCAGUGCGACUAUGAAAGAGAACAUUGAUACGAUAUUAUGUUUUUCUGCAAAAAUUACCUCUAUUUUGGUAGGCUUAAGUUGAUCAUCACAAAUUUAAACAAACAAGUAGCAAUAUGACAUCUAUUUAUUUGUUUAUUUAAUUAUUACAAUAUGAAAUGAGCAUAGUGUAGACCUCAAAAUAAUUCGCAGUUAACCAUCAUUGAACGCAGAUGUCUUGAUGCUUAAAANNNNNNNNNNNNNNNNNNNNNNNNNNNNNNNNNNNNNNNNNNNNNNNNNNNNNNNNNNNNNNNNNNNNNNNNNNNNNNNNNNNNNNNNNNNNNNNNNNNNAGCACCAACACCAACAACAAAUUCUAGGGGAGGAGAAUGACCGCCAGUUAGAUGUUACAAAUGCGGGAAAGAGGGACAUAUUUGUCCACAACAAUCCAAGGUAUGUUACAACUGUGGAAAGGAAGGCCACAUAGCUCGGGAUUGUUCUGUAGCAAAAUCAAGUUCAACGGGGAUGGUGACUCCAAGGGCUGUCCCGGAUAAGUCGAAAUCAGCGGUUCCUGAAAGAGCGUUUGUCGUGACUGACCAAAACGCGAGGAACCCCCCAUUAAUAUGAUUAUAUGAUAAUCCCCAAGCUAAUGUUUCAAACAAAGGUAUUGAUGGGGCAAUUUUUUUAGGGGGUUGAUGUAACCCAUGUCGCUAAUAUGACCAAGUAGGUGGUGUUUGACUGCAUCUUAACAAUUUACUUCUUAAUACAUCUUAACAAUCCACAAUUUUAUAUUAAGAGGUCCUCUUAAUAGUUAAGAUACAAAUAUGAGUCUAAACUAUUCAGAUAACCAUCUUAAUACAAAAAUAUGAGUUAAAAUACAUUAAGAGGUGAAUUAUUAAGAUGUAUUAAAAUACAAUCAAACACAAUUGAAACAUGAAUUGAGCCUUUUAGGUGUUUUGAUUGCAUCUUAACAGUUUCUUAAUGCCUCUUAAGAGACCAUAUUUUUGUAUUAAGAGAUUUUUUGAAUAGUUAAGAUAUAAAUACAAAUCUAAACUAUUCAGAAGACUUUUUAAUAUAAAAAUGUGGACGGUAAAAAUACAUUGAAAGGUGGGAUCAUUCAAUCACCACCUUACUUUGGAUUUGAUUUGAACCUGGCCCAAGUGAUUACAGAUGGUGAAACUCUUUUUGUGGAUAAAAGGGAAAACGAGCUAAAAAGAAUAUUCUACUCCAUUGGUAAAAGAAUAUUACUGCUUUCUUUAAUGCUUCCACUAUUAGUACAAAUACAAUGAAUCACUUGCCAAUCUCAGUAGUCUCUCAAAUAGGUACGUAGUAUAUAUGGUUUCGCAAUAGAGAGAGAGAAGUUUCACGAAGGGAGAAGCAAAAAAAUUCAACCCGGGACUAAUGGCUACUGGUGGUGGGAGUUUUGUCACAUAUAUUCAUUCUAUUGAAAUGAGUUUUAUUCCGCAUUCUUCACAUGAAAUAAAAAAACAAAAAAAUAGAAUGAAUUUUAAUUCUAUUUUUAUUUCAUUCAUUUCUUUAUUCCACUCUCAAUCCAAACGUACCAUAAAAAGAUUACUGUUGACACACGCACACUUCUAGACCAGUGCCUUGCAGACUCUUAGUUGGAUGAAAUAGCUAAUUGCGUCACUUUUUUUCCAAACACUCGAGGUUAAAUGAAACUUUUCUAACCACAGACAGAUAGUUAUGCCAAGAUCAUUUAAAAUAGAAAACUAUAUGAUACUGCAUUUUACUUCAUGAUCUUAAAAUUGUAGCAUAAACCAUAGAAAGUGGAAUGAGACUGAGGCUGCAACAUGCAUAAUUAGAGACUUAACGUGUUUGAGUGAAGAAUUUCUCCAGUAUCCCCCACAAUUACAAGGCUUUACCCCAAUUUUCACCAAAAGAGAAAACCCCCAUUUCUCUCCUUAUAUACAAAACCACAUGUUAAAAUUGUAAACCUAAACCAAUUUGUCCUUUAUCACAAUCCUCGUAAAUUUUUCUCAUAGCCCCCCUAAUCUUAUUCAUGUACACAAAGGAAAUAUACCCAUUGUCGUGAAACACAAAACCUUCUACCAGGUCUUUGAUACGUCCCCGACUUUCCCAAAACCAAUUAAACAGAACAAAAAAUAUAAAGGGACAAUGAUCAAAACUCAAGAAGAAUUUUCAAAGACAACCAUGUUGGUUACCUCGGUUGCGGUUGUGAUGAAAAUGAUCGAGCAGGCCUGGCUGAUGAUUGAGGUGAUGGAUUACCAAAGAACAUUGUCUGGGAUUGGUUAACCAUGUCAACCAUGGAUGGGGUCUGGUAAGCCUGCAUAAGGCUUGUGCUAUCCAUAGAAUCACCUCGUGCAGUUGCCCUCUGCCAUGAGUGUGAGCUCAAACCCGAUAGAACAUAAGCCCUUCCGGAUGACUCGUAUACACGGCGGUUUGCCAUCCUCUCUUGCAUUUCCCUCAUUUCAGCACCCAAGGCAACACAUAACCUGUCGCCAGCUUGUGCUGACACGGUUUCAGACAACUGUUUACGGCAAUGCUCAAGGACGGAUACUGCAGCAGUUAAAUCACCACGUUCAGCAGCAGCUCGUGCUUCUGCCAUUGCUUCUGCUGCACAGAGCCUAUUUCGCUGCCUGUCCACUUCCAUUGACACUGACAAUUGUCUAGUAGUUUCAGGCCUUUGAAUUACCACAUUCCUGGCUUCUUCCAAGGUCAUUGUUUCUUUUGUUAUAGGGUCUUUGUACUGACAAUUAACUUUUAUCAAUGACAUGUCAUUACUGUAUUUAUCAACUGGAAUGUCCAUUAUUACCAGAAAAUCUCUCUCUUCUUCAGCAUACAGAUCCCCAACUUCGAUAAAUCCUGUUCUUGCAUCAGUCAUCACACUGGUUUUAUAAUUUCCUGCUUUUAUUGAACUAAGACGCAACCUUGGAUGUACGCAGUCAACCACCACCCGUAGUUCCUGUACCACAACACUCAGAAGCCCUCCAAUGCAUUGUGCAAAAGCAUCCUGAAUCACACUCUCUGCCUCUAUAAAAGAAAAUGUCCCCCCAGAAGCUUCAGAAAUGGAAUGCAUUGCAACAGCAUCAUGAUCUGCCCCAAAACCAAAUGCGUGAACUGGAAUGUGGUGGCCAGCACCACUAUCGCGAUGCAUGGAGAAUGGGAGGAGUGACUGAUAAUCAGUUCGAGAACUAGUCCCACGAGGACUGGUCACUGUAUACGUGUCCUGCCCGUCAGACAACAGUAUAAUACUGCUCACUGGGCUCUUCCACUUGCGGUCUGUCAUCACCUUGGCACCCUUUCGGAGGCCCUCAGCAAUGUUUGUCCCACCAUUUGAGAUCAGAUUAUUAACAGCCUGUAGUGCUUCCUGCCUUCCUGUGUCAGUCAUCCUACGAAGGGGAAAAAGUCUCCGAGCUGUGGAGGAGAAGGCAAUGACUGAAAGCCUGUCAGAAGAGCCUAGGUUCUGAAUCACAAACCCCAUGGCUUGUUUUAGCAAAGCAAGCUUUGUGCCUGCCAUGCUGCCACUUAUAUCAAGCACGGUUACGAGAUCUACUGGAGCACGAGAGUUCUGAGAAAUUAAAGGCAGAUUAGCAUGGUCUUCGCCAGAAUGCUGUUUUCCACUAGUAAGGGGAGCUUUGAGAUGUAUUAGUAUGUUGAAACUAUUAUGGGAUGCUAAUCUUGAAAUGGAAGAAACCUCGGGGUAUGUUUUAACCUCAAUUGCCCCAAUAGAAUGGACAUCAGUACAAAUAUUGUCUGAUGAAUUUUUUUCAGUAACCUCAGGUUGGCAAUCCACAAGUUCGUCAUCAUCGAAGACACCUGGCUCAGGGGAGUGACGAAUAGGAGAAACACGCCGGUCUGCAUCUGCACCAGGAGGGAUCCUUUGUACAACAGUCAUCCAGGCAACAUCUUGAGGCCAAGAACCACGAUUGGUUCUUGACCUUCUAUGACUAAGAUCAGAAGAAGGAUUCUGGAAUGGAACUUCCUUCCAUUUUGCUCGGCAAACGGGGCAAAUCUGAUUUCCAUGUUUUACAUUGGAGGUGAUGCAGUGGAAGUGGAAGGAGUGUGAGCAUUCUGCGGUAAAAAUGGCAUGGCCUUGGCCUGGUUUCAUGGUGGUUAAGCAUAUUGAACAAG